CCUACGGGGGGCACCAGUGGGGAAUAUUGCACAAUGGGCGCAAGCCUGAUGCAGCCAUGCCGCGUGUAUGAAGAAGGCCUUCGGGUUGUAAAGUACUUUCAGCGGGGAGGAAGGCGAUAAGGUUAAUAGCCUUGUCGAUUGACGUUACCUACAGAAGAAGCACCGGCUAACUCCGUGCCAGCAGCCGCGGUAAUACGGAGGGUGCAAGCGUUAAUCGGAAUUACUGGGCGUAAAGCGCACGCAGGCGGUUUGUUAAGUCAGAUGUGAAAUCCCCGGGCUCAACCUGGGAACUGCAUCUGAUACUGGCAAGCUUGAGUCUCGUAGAGGGGGGUAGAAUUCCAGGUGUAGCGGUGAAAUGCGUAGAGAUCUGGAGGAAUACCGGUGGCGAAGGCGGCCCCCUGGACGAAGACUGACGCUCAGGUGCGAAAGCGUGGGGAGCAAACAGGAUUAGAUACCCUCGUAGUC
RNAcentral lists this ribosomal RNA (465 nucleotides) under uncultured bacterium. RNAcentral's name for it is "bacterial SSU rRNA". It matches the Rfam family "Bacterial small subunit ribosomal RNA", at positions 338 to 795 of the family's 1533-position model. The record is from RNAcentral.